This 313-nucleotide long non-coding RNA is filed under the name Androctonus crassicauda. Lineage: Eukaryota; Metazoa; Arthropoda; Arachnida; Scorpiones; Buthidae. The record is from RNAcentral.
AGCAGAAGUGCACCAUUCACUCUCAACUAAGAGAUUUUAUGUAGGCAAACAUUUCUGAAACUAUAGAUCAGUUAUUUAGGAUAGUCAGAGAUUUAGAAAGGACUGAUUAGGACUAUGGGUGUGUCUAUUUUCUGCCUAAUUAUUGCUGUGAGGUUUGAUUUGACCAAUCUGGGCAUUUUAUUCAUCAGCUUCCCUUGAAAUGCACCAGGAAAUAGGAAAAGAAAGAAUAGCUGUGUGGAGACUUAACAGUAUUUUCUUAUGUGUUAGGUAGUGUGUGUUAGUGAUUAAAGCUCUAGAAAGAAGUUAACAGCUG